This 1023-nucleotide long non-coding RNA is filed under the name Anas platyrhynchos platyrhynchos (common mallard). RNAcentral's name for it is "lncRNA (ENSAPLG00000031171.1)". Lineage: Eukaryota; Metazoa; Chordata; Aves; Anseriformes; Anatidae. The record is from RNAcentral.
CACAUUGCAGGUACAAAUGGCACAGCCAGGGUGAGGUGUUCCUGGCCCCUGCACUUCUCCUGACCCAGGAGAAGUCUGGGUCUUCCUCUUCCACCUGCGGGCAUGGAAAUGCAGCCCUUUUCCUGGUGCCUUUUCUCAGCUCCCUUCUUCCACAAAGCCCAGCCCUGGAUGGUGGCUCUGGCUCUGGUCCUUGUGCUUUUGGCUGUGUCCAUUGGCCUCGGUGUUUAUCUCUUUCGAAAGCAAGCGGCACAGAGCCGAGAGCUGGGUGAAUCCUUGCAGUCCCUGCCCCCAACCCUGGGGAAGUGGUGUCCCUGCGGGAGGGCCUGGUCUGGGUGGGCUCUGGGGGCUUGUGUGCUGGUGGUUUGGGGGGGCUGGAGGAGCAGCUGGAGCCUGGGGUGGGAGUGGGGAGUGCUGGGGCUGGGGCUGCCCUGGGCACGGGACACGGCCGGGAUGGCUGAAAGGAAUGGGGAUCAAGGUGGGUACGGGGAGCGAGCUGUGGUGCUGCCCCACUCUGCACUGAUGCUUCUGGGACAAGGACGUCCUCCACCCAUCCCCAUUCACAUCCCCUUGUGUUUUGGUGGCACGGUGCAGAGAGCUGCACAAGUGUCUGUUCUUCAAGCUAGAAGUCUUGCAAAAUGCUGGCCCUAGGUCUUUGUUAGUGGGGUCGCUACAAGUCUGGGAGCAAGGUGGUCUGUGCCCAUGCAUGAGAGCAAAAAAUUUGGGGUCUAGCCAUCUAGCCAUGGAAGCAGCAUUGGAUUGAAAGUCUCUCCACUCUGACCAUUCAUUCCUUUUGCUUUUUAUAGCAGCCAAAAAGGAUGCAAAGCUGGGUAAGUCUCCUUCCCCAAAGAGAAGGCAUUUGGUGUCUUACCAUGGGCAUACUCCCAUCUGACUGUACAUUGCUUUUAUUUUUCUUUUCCAGUGGAACAGGCUGCAGAGAUAGGUGAGUGUCCAUCCCUGAACUAGAAGAAUUUGCAGUGUAGUCAAUGGAUGAGAAGUUUUUCCCUCUGAUCAUAUAUUCCUUAU